RNAcentral lists this ribosomal RNA (381 nucleotides) under uncultured bacterium. RNAcentral describes it as "bacterial SSU rRNA". It matches the Rfam family "Bacterial small subunit ribosomal RNA", at positions 29 to 401 of the family's 1533-position model. The record is from RNAcentral.
AAUGAACGCUGGCGGCGCGCCUAAUACAUGCAAGUCGAGCGAGAAGACGUAGCAAUACGUUUGUAAAGCGGCGAACGGGUGAGGAAUACAUGGGUAACCUACCCUCGAGUGGGGAAUAACUAGCCGAAAGGUUAGCUAAUACCGCGUACGCUCCUUGGACUUCGGUUCAGGGAGGAAAGCGAUACCGUGGGUAUCGCGCUCUUGGUUGGGCUCAUGUCCUAUCAGCUUGUUGGUGAGGAACGGCUCACCAAGGCUUCGACGGGUAGCUGGUCUGAGAGGACGAUCAGCCACACUGGCACUGCGACACGGGCCAGACUCCUACGGGAGGCAGCAGUAAGGAAUAUUGCGCAAUGGGCGAAAGCCUGACGCAGCGACGCCGCG